AGGGCCGCGGUAAUCUGACCGUGCGAAGGUAGCAUAAUCAUUUGUCUCUUAAUUGGGGGCUGGUAUGAACGGUUGGAUGAGGGACCAAGUGUCUCGAGAUUAUAGUUUGAAUUUUACUUUUAAGUGAAAAGGCUUAAGUUUUAUUAAGUGAAGAUAAGACCCUAUAAAACUUACAUAGAAGUGGGUUACGACUGGUCUGAUGGGGUUUAGGACGGCGUAAUUCAUUUUGUAUUUUGUUGGGGCGACAGUAAUAGAAGCGUAUCUGUUAUUUUUAAUAAGUUAGUGAUAAUUAGUGAGUGACCCUUUAAUAUGGAUCAAAAGAUUAAGUUACUUUAGGGAUAACAGCGUAAUUCUCUUUGAGAGAUCUAAUCGACAAGAGUAGUUGCGACCUCGAUGUUGAAUUAAAAUUUCUACUAAGUGCAGGAGCUUGGUUAGAGAAGUCUGUUCGACUUUUAAAAUUUU
This 462-nucleotide ribosomal RNA is filed under the name Cuapetes platycheles. RNAcentral's name for it is "partial large subunit ribosomal RNA". It matches the Rfam family "Archaeal large subunit ribosomal RNA", at positions 2004 to 2666 of the family's 2987-position model. The record is from RNAcentral. Lineage: Eukaryota; Metazoa; Arthropoda; Malacostraca; Decapoda; Palaemonidae.